UUAGCUAGCAAGUUACAUAUCUCACUGUCGCUUCUUACAGCUUCCCAAAUAUGGACUCACGAAAAACAGGCAUUUUAUGAUCGGUAAGGGGAUGCCACAAUAACUGGCAGAAACGGAUGCUGUUCAUGGAACAGGAGUGUUUUGACCGCCUAACUUUUUUAGUGCAGUUGUGAGACGCCUUUUGAUUUGCACUAAGGGCGAGGAGUCUCUUCGGAUUUGGCUCAGAGCUUUGAACUUGAAGAAACCUCCAAACAUAAAUUAAAAUUAAACCUCCAAACCGACCCUAUAUGUGUUCCUAUCACUUCGUGGACAAGAUGCCGACUGAAGAGCAUCCUUUCACUGAGAAGUGGCUGGGCUAUGAUGCUCCAGUACAGAUCAGAAGGCGACAGCUCAUACAUCAACACAUACAGUGAUCUUGCUGAACACGUUGCUGUGUCCAAGGGAGUGGUGAGCAGAGUCCUUUCCUACUGGAUUGACACAAUGGAGGAGCUCAUGAGGAUCUACAUUCCAUGGCAGCCGAGAGGCAGAUGCAGUGACAAGUUCAUCACCCAAAACUCUGGCUUCCUGGAAUACCUUAGGCCUGGCGAUGAAGUUAUGGCUGACGGGCUUUACCAUCCGAGAUCUGCUGUAUGAGAGUAAGGUAAACCUUGCCAUACCAGCCUUCACCCAGAAAGGUGGACAGCUGUCUGACGAGGAUGUCGCAAGCACAAGAAGGAUAGCUAAUGUGCAUAUACAUGUUGAGAGAGUUAUCAGACUCAAGGUGUUCAAAUCCUCUCCCAGACUGUGUCCAUUUUGUGUGUCAGGCUGAUGGGAAAAGUCCUUAGAAUCUGUGCAGCACUUGUUAACAUGCAGAGUGAGAUCAUCCAUGAGGAUGCAGAAUGAGCAGUGAGAAUGUUCAUACAUUUGAAAUGUAACUUUAAACACUAUAAUUUCAUCCACCUGAGAUACUAUGUGUGUGUGUAUGUAUAUAUAUAUAUAUUAGUUUAAUCUGAAUUAUUUGUUACUAUAUUUGAAAUGUACUGUAACUUUGGCUGUUCCUGAUAAUUACAGGCAUCCACUAGGUGCUGCUAUAAUGCCUUUUUAAAUCUAUUUCAAAUACAUUUUCUUCAACACAAAUGUCACUAACAGACCAAGAGGGAAGACAAAUGUUUGUCAAGUGACACAAUUUUUCUUAAUUUGUGCCCUUGAAAACCAAACCCAGAAUCAAACUGAAAACACUUUUGAAUACUUUAGACAUGCCUCCUCAUCUUUCUUUUCAAAAUGGUAAGUAUCAAAGAAAAUGUCAAUGUGGAAUUUCAUGUUUUUAUUAACUCCGUAAUUUGCUAAGUGCAAGAUGAGUUACGGUAUGCUUAGAUAAGUUCACGAAGUGCCGUAUGCAAAAAGAGCUAUACAAGGUACGAUUAAAAUAUUCAUAAAUCAUAAGGUGUUAUUCUUAGACAUUAGAUAAGCAUGUAUGAAGAGAGCUGUACAAGGCAAGACAUAAAAAACACCAAGAAGAAUUAUGCAAAUAUAAAUCAGGUCAAUGUGCAUAUGAAGAGAACUGCAAAACAAAAAAAAACAACCAAGAGUUAAGCUUAGAUACAGUAGAGCUGACAGAGCUUUACAAGGCACAAAAUAUAAGAACUAUUUAAAAGCAAAGUAUUAUGCCCCGAGCCUAGAUACCACAUAGAUUAACAUAUUUGGAGCACAGAGUUAGUCUGCCUAUCUGGAACUCAUAUACUAUCGUUGGCAGCAUAUGUGGGAAAUACAAUGCCUUUAGUGAUUACAUCAGCACAUAACUUCACAUCAAAAGGCAUAUCAAUAAUGGAUGAAUAUGUAUGAACUUUCCAAUUUGUAAGUCGCUCUGGAUAAGAGCGUCUGCUAAAUGACUUAAAUGUAAAUGUAAUAACAACCAGCUCGGAUGGAGCCCAGACAGCAGUUUGCAUCUCUCCAGUCCUGUGCAGAACAUGCCCGUUUACACCUACAUGUAGUACCCACGGGUUCCAUUAGGUUGCAGCUGAGGAAUCCCAUCCACCAGCUUCACAUCAGUGAGUUUGCUAGAGACUCACACUUCUUACUCAGAACAGGACAUUUGAUUUCUAGAAGUUUUUGACAGUUUAACACUCCAUCUGGGCUUGCAGAAAGCCAUGGCUCCUUGACACUCACUGCUGUGCCUCUGCUCUUCAGACUAAACCCACAGCUCUCCAUCCAUGUGUUGGCCACCUGCUCAUUUUCCUUUCCAUAUGUGGUUGCUGAGUUUCCAUGGAACCUGGGGAAGAGAUGCUCCCGCACAAAGUGGUCAGGAUUUGUUGAGGGGCGCACAGGAACCUUUGCUGAGCUAGCAGUGAUCUGAAGUUUAAGUGUGUCAUACCAUGCAUAGGAGGCACUCUAUGCUUUAGUGAAAUCUCCAAGCAUGCACAUUUACACUCCUCCAGCUUAACAUAAAAGUCAUAAAACUGCAUGUUGAUGCCGUGUUCACUAUGAGGCUGCUGUAGCUGUGUGGCUGCUGCUGGAUCUUGAUGACUGGUUUAGCUUUGCACUUGUGCAGAAGGCUCCUACUGGAACAUUGCCCCCUUCCAAACUCUUAAGUGCAUUGUGGGAGUGGUAUGCAGGGGUUGGAGGUAGAGUUGGAGAAGCGGACGGGGGGCUGUUAGAGAACUCAACAGAUCUCGCUCAACCUUUUUGGAGCUAAAUUCCACUGUGUCCCCAAGUUCCACUGGCAUUGCUCCUGUACAGGACACCCCUGUCAAUCUUCCAUACACAGCAUUCUGCACCUUCAACCAAAAACUACUGUUAGAAUAGUCAAUUACAGUACAGAACGCUAGUUUACAUGGUGUUCACAGGUGAGUAGUUUACACAGUUCCCUUUUAACUAGUAGGUUUAGGUUGUUGGUAAUUUCCUAUUUGAUUGUAAAACUCACCUUGAUACUGUGCCUACUUCAUUGCCAUUUGAGAUUAGACUGAUAUACUUACACAAUGAGCCAUUGAAACCAAGAACCGUGUGUACAUGUUGUACUAGUUACGUUAUCCGGUCAGUGAUAUAAAAUAAUGUUGUAUUUCUGUUUUGUGGAUGAAUGUAUAUGGUGUUACUGAUGUCAACAUGUAGGCUAGAACAUACAGAGGCAACUAGACACUAACCCUCUUCUUAUAGCUAUCUGGAUUCCAGACCUUUCAAAACGACAAACAUCAAAGGCCAAGGUGAAGGGUAGGGAGCAAAUUGAGAUCAGCUUUCUAUGUAGGCCUAGUCUACUCUGCUCACAUAUGCUCAGUUCACAGGACCUGCUCUCCUUCCCUUAAACUGAGUCAGGAAAGGUAGGCUUAAGGAAACCAGCUUGAUCUAUCAAUAGCUCACAUUCUGUUGCACUCGAAACAAAACGUGAGCGCAGCGAUCAGUCUGCUUGACCUGGCUAAUGGAGAGGAGCAGUAGUCCUAGACUAGGCAGUGGCUAGUUGGGGUUGUAGU
Long non-coding RNA from Salvelinus namaycush (lake trout), 3440 nucleotides. RefSeq lists it as uncharacterized. Lineage: Eukaryota; Metazoa; Chordata; Actinopteri; Salmoniformes; Salmonidae. The record is from RefSeq and is a predicted model, not a curated record. The transcript is spliced from 3 exons.